Molecule: long non-coding RNA, 95 nt
Organism: Etheostoma cragini (Arkansas darter)
Lineage: Eukaryota; Metazoa; Chordata; Actinopteri; Perciformes; Percidae
Exons: 3
Source: RefSeq, a predicted model, not a curated record
GCCCAUUAUCUUUAUGCCUUUAAUUUGCUAUUGCUGUGCUACAAAAACUCAAGGUUGCAUUUCUCUAUUUCAAUUGAGUGUUCAAAUCUGUCAGU